UCACUCUGUGGGGAGAAUGUUGUGAGCCUACCACAUUGCAACCCAUCCUUGCCUUGGAAACUGCUCUGCUAAGAGGUUGGCUCCUGAUACCAAGUCUGCAGUCCUUCAGUGAUUAUUUUUGCUCAGUUUUUUGGCUCAGAACAGGGACAGCUUUCUGUAAAUCUGAGUGUCGCAUCGUCUCCUGGAGCCUAGAUCUGUGUAUAUCUGCAC
Molecule: long non-coding RNA, 210 nt
Organism: Lagopus leucura (white-tailed ptarmigan)
Lineage: Eukaryota; Metazoa; Chordata; Aves; Galliformes; Phasianidae
Exons: 3
Source: RefSeq, a predicted model, not a curated record